RNAcentral lists this signal recognition particle RNA (241 nucleotides) under Chlorocebus sabaeus (green monkey). Its description in RNAcentral is "Metazoan signal recognition particle RNA". It matches the Rfam family "Metazoan signal recognition particle RNA". Rfam says of the family: The signal recognition particle (SRP) is a universally conserved ribonucleoprotein. It is involved in the co-translational targeting of proteins to membranes. The record is from Rfam by way of RNAcentral. Lineage: Eukaryota; Metazoa; Chordata; Mammalia; Primates; Cercopithecidae.
GCCAGGCGCGGUGGCGGGCGCCUGUAGUCCCAGCUACUCAGGAGGCUGAGGCAGGAGAAUGGCGUGAACCCGGGAGGCGGAGCUUGCAGUGAGCCGAGAUCGCGCACCAUUGCACUCCAGCCAGGGCGACAAGAGCCANNNNNNNNNNUGGCUCUUGUCGCCCUGGCUGGAGUGCAAUGGUGCGCGAUCUCGGCUCACUGCAAGCUCCGCCUCCCGGGUUCACGCCAUUCUCCUGCCUCAG